RNAcentral lists this transfer RNA (77 nucleotides) under Acidithiobacillus ferridurans. RNAcentral describes it as "tRNA-Arg". It matches the Rfam family "tRNA". Rfam says of the family: Transfer RNA (tRNA) molecules are approximately 80 nucleotides in length. RNAcentral also lists the same sequence under 1 other name. The record is from RNAcentral. Lineage: Bacteria; Pseudomonadati; Pseudomonadota; Acidithiobacillia; Acidithiobacillales; Acidithiobacillaceae.
CCGCGCGUAGCUCAACUGGAUAGAGCAUCGGACUUCUAUUCCGGGUGUUGCGGGUUCGAAUCCUGCGGCGCGGGCCA